UACGUAGGGUGCAAGCGUUGUCCGGAAUUAUUGGGCGUAAAGAGCUCGUAGGCGGUUUGUCGCGUCUGCCGUGAAAGUCCGGGGCUCAACUCCGGAUCUGCGGUGGGUACGGGCAGACUAGAGUGAUGUAGGGGAGACUGGAAUUCCCGGUGUAGCGGUGAAAUGCGCAGAUAUCAGGAGGAACACCGAUGGCGAAGGCAGGUCUCUGGGCAUUAACUGACGCUGAGGAGCGAAAGCAUGGGGAGCGAACAGG
RNAcentral lists this ribosomal RNA (253 nucleotides) under uncultured bacterium. RNAcentral's name for it is "partial 16S ribosomal RNA". It matches the Rfam family "Bacterial small subunit ribosomal RNA", at positions 524 to 776 of the family's 1533-position model. The record is from RNAcentral.